CCCAGUGGUUAGUCAGCUAUCCAGUGCCAAUCAGUGCCUGUGAUAGUGUUACAUUGCUGGGAGAUCAAGACAAUGCACCCAAUGCUGGUGUCCCACUGUUACUGUUCUGGUGACGUGUAGCACAUGCAACUAGGCAUUGUUGUACAGUACUUCCUCGAGAGUGCGCCAAACAUCUACCAUGUUUGUUUUGGAGCUAGUCUGGAAGCACACAGA
Molecule: small nucleolar RNA, 213 nt
Filed under: Leptobrachium leishanense (Leishan spiny toad)
Lineage: Eukaryota; Metazoa; Chordata; Amphibia; Anura; Megophryidae
Description: Small nucleolar RNA SNORA74 (ENSLLEG00000004001.1)
Rfam family: Small nucleolar RNA SNORA74
About the family: U19 belongs to the H/ACA class of snoRNAs. snoRNAs bind a number of proteins (including dyskerin, Gar1p and Nop10p in the case of the H/ACA class) to form snoRNP complexes. This class are thought to guide the sites of modification of uridines to pseudouridines by forming direct base pairing interactions with substrate RNAs. Targets may include ribosomal and spliceosomal RNAs but the exact functions of many snoRNAs, including U19, are not confirmed.
Source: Rfam by way of RNAcentral